RNAcentral lists this ribosomal RNA (499 nucleotides) under uncultured bacterium. RNAcentral's name for it is "bacterial SSU rRNA". It matches the Rfam family "Bacterial small subunit ribosomal RNA", at positions 8 to 518 of the family's 1533-position model. The record is from RNAcentral.
AGAGUUUGAUCAUGGCUCAGGAUGAACGCUGGCGGCGUGCUUAACACAUGCAAGUCGAACGGGGUUAUUAGAAGCUUGCUUUGGAUAACUUAGUGGCGGACGGGUGAGUAACGCGUGGGUAACCUGCCUUAUACCGGGGGACAACAGUUGGAAACGACUGCUAAUACCGCAUAAGCGCACGGGAAGGCAUCUUUCUGUGUGAAAAAACUCCGGUGGUAUAAGAUGGACCCGCGUCUGAUUAGCCAGUUGGCGGUGUAACGGACCACCAAAGCGACGAUCAGUAGCCGGCCUGAGAGGGCAAACGGCCACAUUGGGACUGAGACACGGCCCAAACUCCUACGGGAGGCAGCAGUGGGGAAUAUUGCACAAUGGAGGAAACUCUGAUGCAAGCGACGCCGCGUGAGUGAAGAAGUAUUUCGGUAUGUAAAGCUCUAUCAGCAGGAAAGAAAAUGACGGUACCUGACUAAGAAGCCCCGGCUAACUACGUGCCAGCAGCAGC